This 382-nucleotide ribosomal RNA is filed under the name uncultured microorganism. Its description in RNAcentral is "bacterial SSU rRNA". It matches the Rfam family "Archaeal small subunit ribosomal RNA", at positions 330 to 712 of the family's 1478-position model. The record is from RNAcentral.
GUGCAGCAGUCGCGAAAACCUCACAAUGUGCGAAAGCACGAUGAGGGAGUCCCAAGUGCUUGCACGUAAGUGUAAGCUGUUUCUCUGUCUAAAACGCAGAGAGAGUAAGGGCUGGGUAAGACGGGUGCCAGCCGCCGCGGUAAUACCUGCAGCUCGAGUGGUGACCGUUAUUAUUGGGCCUAAAACGUCCGUAGCCGGUUUAAUAAAUGCCUGGGUAAAUCGGACCGCUUAACGGUUCGAAUUCCGGGUAGACUGUUAAACUUGAGACCGGGAGAAGUUAGAGGUACUCCUGGGGUAGAGGUGAAAUUCUGUAAUCCGUAGGGGGACCACCAGUGGCGAAGGCGUCUAACUAGAACGGGUCUGACGGUGAGGGACGAAGCCC